CAGGACGAACGCUGGCGGCGUGCUUAACACAUGCAAGUCGAACGGUGAUGAUCAAGCUUGCUUGGUCGGAUCAGUGGCGAACGGGUGAGUAACACGUGAGUAACCUGCCCCAGACUCUGGGAUAACUUCGGGAAACCGGAGCUAAUACCGGAUAUGACACUCGCACGCAUGUGCAGGGUGUGGAAAGUUUUUCGGUCUGGGAUGGGCUCGCGGCCUAUCAGCUUGUUGGUGAGGUAGUGGCUCACCAAGGCGACGACGGGUAGCCGGCCUGAGAGGGCGACCGGCCACACUGGGACUGAGACACGGCCCAGACUCCUACGGGAGGCAGCAGUGGGGAAUAUUGCACAAUGGGCGAAAGCCUGAUGCAGCGACGCCGCGUGAGGGAUGACGGCCUUCGGGUUGUAAACCUCUUUCAGCAGGGAAGAAGCGAAAGUGACGGUACCUGCAGAAGAAGCACCGGCUAACUACGUGCCAGCAGCCGCGGUAAUACGUAGGGUGCGAGCGUUGUCCGGAAUUAUUGGGCGUAAAGAGCUUGUAGGUGGUUUGUCGCGUCUGCUGUGAAAAUCCGGGGCUCAACCCCGGACUUGCAGUGGGUACGGGCAGACUAGAGUGUGGUAGGGGAGACUGGAAUUCCUGGUGUAGCGGUGGAAUGCGCAGAUAUCAGGAGGAACACCGAUGGCGAAGGCAGGUCUCUGGGCCAUUACUGACACUGAGAAGCGAAAGCAUGGGGAGCGAACAGGAUUAGAUACCCUGGUAGUCCAUGCCGUAAACGUUGGGAA
This 779-nucleotide ribosomal RNA is filed under the name Terracoccus sp. RNAcentral describes it as "bacterial SSU rRNA". It matches the Rfam family "Bacterial small subunit ribosomal RNA", at positions 25 to 815 of the family's 1533-position model. Lineage: Bacteria; Bacillati; Actinomycetota; Actinomycetes; Micrococcales; Intrasporangiaceae. The record is from RNAcentral.